Molecule: small nucleolar RNA, 122 nt
Filed under: Bison bison bison
Lineage: Eukaryota; Metazoa; Chordata; Mammalia; Artiodactyla; Bovidae
Description: Small nucleolar RNA SNORA32 (ENSBBBG00000024740.1)
Rfam family: Small nucleolar RNA SNORA32
About the family: ACA32 is a member of the H/ACA class of snoRNA that guide the sites of modification of uridines to pseudouridines.
Source: Rfam by way of RNAcentral
UGGUCAUUACCGAGGCAUUUAGAAUGCAGUUCUCAUUUGCUGUGGACAUGACCAUAAAAAAUGAUUCCCACUAGGUUUUCUUCCUGCUACUUGGUUAGCAUUGAGCCUAUUUGGGAACAUUU